RNAcentral lists this long non-coding RNA (186 nucleotides) under Junco hyemalis (dark-eyed junco). Its description in RNAcentral is "lncRNA (ENSJHYG00000009322.1)". Lineage: Eukaryota; Metazoa; Chordata; Aves; Passeriformes; Passerellidae. The record is from RNAcentral.
CAGCUGUGAGUCUGAACCUCUGUGGUGAACCAGCAGCAGCGCCGCAUUUAUGUGAUGGCUUUCUCCAGUGGAUACCAGCUACAGAGGGUGCUACAGAGGAAACAAAGGAGCCAGUAACCUCAGUGACUCUGCUGUGGACAGAUGGGCAAGAAAUUAGCUAAAGGUAAGAGCAGAACUUGAAAAAUA